Molecule: ribosomal RNA, 247 nt
Filed under: uncultured Lactobacillus sp.
Lineage: Bacteria; Bacillati; Bacillota; Bacilli; Lactobacillales; Lactobacillaceae
Description: partial 16S ribosomal RNA
Rfam family: Bacterial small subunit ribosomal RNA
Source: RNAcentral
CGUGGGGAACCUGCCCCAUAGUCUGGGAUACCACUUGGAAACAGGUGCUAAUACCGGAUAAGAAAGCAGAUCGCAUGAUCAGCUUUUAAAAGGCGGCGUAAGCUGUCGCUAUGGGAUGGCCCCGCGGUGCAUUAGCUAGUUGGUAAGGUAAAGGCUUACCAAGGCGAUGAUGCAUAGCCGAGUUGAGAGACUGAUCGGCCACAUUGGGACUGAGACACGGCCCAAACUCCUACGGGAGGCAGCAGGC